Molecule: ribosomal RNA, 2722 nt
Filed under: Escherichia coli
Lineage: Bacteria; Pseudomonadati; Pseudomonadota; Gammaproteobacteria; Enterobacterales; Enterobacteriaceae
Description: partial 23S ribosomal RNA
Rfam family: Bacterial large subunit ribosomal RNA
Source: RNAcentral
AGGACGUGCUAAUCUGCGAUAAGCGUCGGUAAGGUGAUAUGAACCGUUAUAACCGGCGAUUUCCGAAUGGGGAAACCCAGUGUGUUUCGACACACUAUCAUUAACUGAAUCCAUAGGUUAAUGAGGCGAACCGGGGGAACUGAAACAUCUAAGUACCCCGAGGAAAAGAAAUCAACCGAGAUUCCCCCAGUAGCGGCGAGCGAACGGGGAGCAGCCCAGAGCCUGAAUCAGUGUGUGUGUUAGUGGAAGCGUCUGGAAAGGCGCGCGAUACAGGGUGACAGCCCCGUACACAAAAAUGCACAUACUGUGAGCUCGAUGAGUAGGGCGGGACACGUGGUAUCCUGUCUGAAUAUGGGGGGACCAUCCUCCAAGGCUAAAUACUCCUGACUGACCGAUAGUGAACCAGUACCGUGAGGGAAAGGCGAAAAGAACCCCGGCGAGGGGAGUGAAAAAGAACCUGAAACCGUGUACGUACAAGCAGUGGGAGCCUCUUUUAUGGGGUGACUGCGUACCUUUUGUAUAAUGGGUCAGCGACUUAUAUUCUGUAGCAAGGUUAACCGAAUAGGGGAGCCGAAGGGAAACCGAGUCUUAACUGGGCGUUAAGUUGCAGGGUAUAGACCCGAAACCCGGUGAUCUAGCCAUGGGCAGGUUGAAGGUUGGGUAACACUAACUGGAGGACCGAACCGACUAAUGUUGAAAAAUUAGCGGAUGACUUGUGGCUGGGGGUGAAAGGCCAAUCAAACCGGGAGAUAGCUGGUUCUCCCCGAAAGCUAUUUAGGUAGCGCCUCGUGAAUUCAUCUCCGGGGGUAGAGCACUGUUUCGGCAAGGGGGUCAUCCCGACUUACCAACCCGAUGCAAACUGCGAAUACCGGAGAAUGUUAUCACGGGAGACACACGGCGGGUGCUAACGUCCGUCGUGAAGAGGGAAACAACCCAGACCGCCAGCUAAGGUCCCAAAGUCAUGGUUAAGUGGGAAACGAUGUGGGAAGGCCCAGACAGCCAGGAUGUUGGCUUAGAAGCAGCCAUCAUUUAAAGAAAGCGUAAUAGCUCACUGGUCGAGUCGGCCUGCGCGGAAGAUGUAACGGGGCUAAACCAUGCACCGAAGCUGCGGCAGCGACGCUUAUGCGUUGUUGGGUAGGGGAGCGUUCUGUAAGCCUGCGAAGGUGUGCUGUGAGGCAUGCUGGAGGUAUCAGAAGUGCGAAUGCUGACAUAAGUAACGAUAAAGCGGGUGAAAAGCCCGCUCGCCGGAAGACCAAGGGUUCCUGUCCAACGUUAAUCGGGGCAGGGUGAGUCGACCCCUAAGGCGAGGCCGAAAGGCGUAGUCGAUGGGAAACAGGUUAAUAUUCCUGUACUUGGUGUUACUGCGAAGGGGGGACGGAGAAGGCUAUGUUGGCCGGGCGACGGUUGUCCCGGUUUAAGCGUGUAGGCUGGUUUUCCAGGCAAAUCCGGAAAAUCAAGGCUGAGGCGUGAUGACGAGGCACUACGGUGCUGAAGCAACAAAUGCCCUGCUUCCAGGAAAAGCCUCUAAGCAUCAGGUAACAUCAAAUCGUACCCCAAACCGACACAGGUGGUCAGGUAGAGAAUACCAAGGCGCUUGAGAGAACUCGGGUGAAGGAACUAGGCAAAAUGGUGCCGUAACUUCGGGAGAAGGCACGCUGAUAUGUAGGUGAAGCGACUUGCUCGUGGAGCUGAAAUCAGUCGAAGAUACCAGCUGGCUGCAACUGUUUAUUAAAAACACAGCACUGUGCAAACACGAAAGUGGACGUAUACGGUGUGACGCCUGCCCGGUGCCGGAAGGUUAAUUGAUGGGGUUAGCGGUAACGCGAAGCUCUUGAUCGAAGCCCCGGUAAACGGCGGCCGUAACUAUAACGGUCCUAAGGUAGCGAAAUUCCUUGUCGGGUAAGUUCCGACCUGCACGAAUGGCGUAAUGAUGGCCAGGCUGUCUCCACCCGAGACUCAGUGAAAUUGAACUCGCUGUGAAGAUGCAGUGUACCCGCGGCAAGACGGAAAGACCCCGUGAACCUUUACUAUAGCUUGACACUGAACAUUGAGCCUUGAUGUGUAGGAUAGGUGGGAGGCUUUGAAGUGUGGACGCCAGUCUGCAUGGAGCCGGCCUUGAAAUACCACCCUUUAAUGUUUGAUGUUCUAACGUUGGCCCCUGAUCGGGGUUGCGGACAGUGUCUGGUGGGUAGUUUGACUGGGGCGGUCUCCUCCUAAAGAGUAACGGAGGAGCACGAAGGUUGGCUAAUCCUGGUCGGACAUCAGGAGGUUAGUGCAAUGGCAUAAGCCAGCUUGACUGCGAGCGUGACGGCGCGAGCAGGUGCGAAAGCAGGUCAUAGUGAUCCGGUGGUUCUGAAUGGAAGGGCCAUCGCUCAACGGAUAAAAGGUACUCCGGGGAUAACAGGCUGAUACCGCCCAAGAGUUCAUAUCGACGGCGGUGUUUGGCACCUCGAUGUCGGCUCAUCACAUCCUGGGGCUGAAGUAGGUCCCAAGGGUAUGGCUGUUCGCCAUUUAAAGUGGUACGCGAGCUGGGUUUAGAACGUCGUGAGACAGUUCGGUCCCUAUCUGCCGUGGGCGCUGGAGAACUGAGGGGGGCUGCUCCUAGUACGAGAGGACCGGAGUGGACGCAUCACUGGUGUUCGGGUUGUCAUGCCAAUGGCACUGCCCGGUAGCUAAAUGCGGAAGAGAUAAGUGCUGAAAGCAUCUAAGCACGAAACUUGCC